Plutella xylostella (diamondback moth) is the source of this 539-nucleotide non-coding RNA. The record is from RefSeq and is a predicted model, not a curated record. NCBI's taxonomy places the organism in Eukaryota, Metazoa, Arthropoda, Insecta, Lepidoptera, Plutellidae.
UCCAACGGCAAAGAGGCUGACUGCGUUCAAAACUCAGGCCACAAACAAAAGAAACAAAACAACUUUUUAAUUACGGCCAGGAUUUAAAAACACAAAACGUCAAACGCAAAUGUCAAUUUUCCCGCGCGAAGUGCUUUUUCUUAAAAGGUUUUAAUUCGGCAAUGAGUUAUCGGGUGAAAGUGAUUCUAGAACUAAAGUGAAAGGGGUACUAGUGUCAAAUAAUUGAAUUUCCUGGCCCGCAGUCACACCCACUCACGCUAUGUCCCAACCAUCGCGGCCAACCAAGCAAUGUCAAUGGUGAACCAUGAACAAACCAACCCAAAAUGGAUCGACAGCGAAAAAUACACAGAUAGAAAACCACAAAUAAACGACAAGGUUUUCAAAAAGAGAAAAAACUGCUCUGCGAAAUGGAGAAGCAGAGUUAUCUGUGAAAAUUCAAUAUGGCGGAUUUCAAGAUGGCGGGAGAAGACAAAAUGGCGGCUGAGACCCGGCGUGCUGAUUCCUUUGAUCAUUUUGAACGUCACACGACCAGCUGCUGG